RNAcentral lists this ribosomal RNA (429 nucleotides) under Verrucomicrobiota bacterium. Its description in RNAcentral is "Verrucomicrobia bacterium partial 16S ribosomal RNA". It matches the Rfam family "Bacterial small subunit ribosomal RNA", at positions 355 to 776 of the family's 1533-position model. The record is from RNAcentral. Lineage: Bacteria; Pseudomonadati; Verrucomicrobiota.
UAGGGAAUCUUCCGCAAUGGACGAAAGUCUGACGGAGCAACGCCGCGUGAGUGAAGAAGGAUUUCGGUUCGUAAAACUCUGUUGUUAGGGAAGAAAAAAUGUAUAGUAACUAUAUACAAAAGAGACGGUACCUAACCAGAAAGCCACGGCUAACUACGUGCCAGCAGCCGCGGUAAUACUUAGGUGGCAAGCGUUGUCCGGAAUUAUUUGGCGUAAAGCGCGCGCCGGUGGUAUAGAAAGUCUGAUGUGAAAGCCCACGGCUCAACCGUGGAGGGUCAUUUGAAACUAAUACACUUGGGUGCAGGAGAGAAAAGUGGAAUUCCUAGUGUAGCGGUGAAAUGCGUAGAGAUUAGGAGGAACACCGGUGGCGAAAGCGGCUUUUUGGCCUGCAACUGACACUGAGGCGCGAAAGCGUGGGGAGCAAACAGG